Molecule: non-coding RNA, 317 nt
Organism: Pelobates cultripes (western spadefoot toad)
Lineage: Eukaryota; Metazoa; Chordata; Amphibia; Anura; Pelobatidae
Source: the annotation of a GenBank genome assembly
CAGUAUUUCUUGUAUUGUGAUGGGGUCUUGUACAGCUUGUUUUUGGGCUGCUGAUAGCGUGGGCAGUGUGGUCUUUUGAAGGUAAGCGGCUAUUUCCUGUUCUGUGGGUUGGUGUAGUUUAGGGUCCUGUUUUAAGUUGUAUAGCGUGUGAUAAUAGUCGGCCAUCUCAUCGUUGAUAUCUGGAGGGUUGUGGAUUUUGUCCCCUGUACGGGUGAAUAGAUAGGGGAUUUUGGAGUUGGCUUGUUUUUGUUUCAGUAAUGUUGCUAGAUGUUUUCCGGCUUUGUUGCCUUGAGUGUACGUAUUCAUUUUUAGUUUAG